This is a non-coding RNA of Drosophila melanogaster (fruit fly), 2176 nucleotides long. NCBI's taxonomy places the organism in Eukaryota, Metazoa, Arthropoda, Insecta, Diptera, Drosophilidae. The record is from Ensembl.
AAGCAAUGAGGUUUCAACAAGUGGCUGAUUGGGCAAGGGCACAUGGCCAGAAUUAUACUUAUAAAUAUUGAAAUGUGGCUGAUCUUUUUGAAAUUAGCAUUAGCCAAAGAAAGAAAAACCAUAAAUAAGCCAAACAUUUGUGUGUUCGAAAGAGUCUACAUGUUAUGCAAAUCGGCCACGUUUCGUUUUCGAUUUUCUGAAAACUUUAUCACCGAUUCAGCAUGGAAAUAAAAAUCAUAACGACCAUGCAUGCCAUUUGGACACUACACAAUGGACUUCAGAGAUGAACCCCCGGCCAUAUGUGUGUUGUGAAGAUUCCGCUAAUUGCCAUUGGUGGCUGGUAUUUCAAUUGCUGGUGACCUGUCGCUCAGGUGCACCGUGCACCCAUCAAACGUGUAUUGUGUGGCAUUGCACAAGCCGCCACUAGUCGCACUCCGGCUCAAAAGUCAAAAGUUAUGGCUUUUUUUGGCUAAUGCUGGCUGCUAGCUGCUGGAUGGUGCUGCAUUUGUGCAUCUGCUCCUAACGACUCUCGAGAUGACGCAUCAUCUAUUUACAUAUUUCGGUUUCGGUGUCAAUAAAUCGACGCACAGUAGUCAAGAUAUGCUAAUGGUUUAAUUAGCGUCAUUUGCUAGCUCAACCAGCUCACCUCUCUUCUCUGCCCGAUGCUGCUGCUCGUCGAUGGUGAAGCCGAACUUGUAGGGACGCACUGUGGUCGCGGCCGACAGGACAUGGGUCAAGGUGCACAGGAGCAGCAGCUUUAAAGGGAACUCAAUGAAUGCCGGGUUCAGAGUUGGGAUCAAACUUAAGCACUUACAGCACAGACAAACGCCAUCAAUUUUAGGCUCAUUUUGGGAAUUUAUUAUUUAUUUAAAUCGGUCACCAAUUUUAUUUUAUUUUCACGCCCUAAUAUAAACUGUCAGAGCUCACACAAAAACGCAUAAAUAAACGGGCGUUUAUAUUUUAAUACAAAUACGCGAUUAUAAAUAUUUAGAUUUCAAGCGGACGGAAAGACGCGUUUCUCACGGCUAGAUUAUCGGCACGGAGCAAGCGCCUUAGAAUGAAACACACCCCACGAUGUUCGGCAGCGAAUUGACAAUGUUAAUAAUAUUAGGUAAACAUUAUAAAACAUUAGAGGCGGACGAGAACCUGCCGCUGCUUGUUGGCCAAGUGUGCGUGCGAAUCUCUGCCUUCUACACGUUGUGUAUUUCGCCAAGUCGGAUCGCAUAGCUGGUAGCAUUGGCCAGAUCGCAUCACACCUCUUGAGCCUCAGCCAAGCCUGUGCUUAUAAUUUAAAAUUUCAUGCAGUUUGAAAAGUUAUUUAUUUGAUUAUUUAAACUGCUUGUCAGCUAGUUCUGAACUUACUAAGUAAUUUGCAUCCUCGAUAUUUUUUAUACAAAAGCUAAAUUAGUUUUGGUAAAUAACCUUUUUGGCUUUUAUUGCUAGACUUCCUGAGUAUUUUUGGUCCGUAUUGAUUUAUUUGUAGAUUGAGUUCUAGUAAAGUGCAUACAAAAGUCGUUAUUAGAUAUUUUUUAUAUUUAAGCAAAUAAAGAUCCAAAAAAAUCAAAUUAUGAGAGAAGUUUUACAAGAUUAAAUUUAGAAUGGUCUAAUUUAUUAGUACUGUAUUGAAAUUUAAUAACACUUUAGAUUGGUCUUCAAAAUCGGCUAUCAGGCCUGAAGGGUAGUUCAUGCCGAUUUGUAUCUGUUAAUAAUUAAUCGACCCCAAUGUAUUUGCAAUCCAACUUGUUGAGUCUCAUCGAUAGCCAGGCAUUUGACCUGCUUGAUGAGCAAAUUCGAAUGCAAUGAGGAAGAUGUUUGCACUUCUCUAUUUUCAUCGAUCGGCAAUCAGCAGUGAGCUUAUCUUCUGCCGGAUACUGCAAGUCAAUUGUAAUUGAAAUAUUGCUGUCAAGUUCGGCAAUGACUGAUGUUGUAUGCUAAAAUUUGCAUAUUAAUUGCUAUAACAGUUGUCUUUCAAUACGAGCAUAAAUGAUUCGCGUCUAAAGAGACGCAUCACGAAGAUACUGGUAAUUAGCAUUUAGCCCCCAAAAGUAUGCAAGGGAUUUAAAAAGUUCGUUGCCUAAGUCAUUCGAUUUCAAUGCAAUCUGAAUAGCUAUAGCCUGAAAGUAAGCUUAAGAGUCUUUUAUGAUUAAACUAUGCACUUUAAAUCCGCAAAGCCGAC